AAAAAAAAAAAAAAACGUUUCAUUGAUAUUACUUGGGUUGAAAGAGUGAAGAGGCUUCUGGCAACUGGCUUUUUAAAAAAAUUUUGAAUUGACCUCACCUGAUGCGUAUUUGACGCCUCAUUCUACUUUCUAGGAGGAGGAACGUAAACAGCGGGAGGAACUGGAGCGAAUUAUGGAAGAGAACAAAAGAAAAAUAGAGAUUGCCCAGAUGAAAUUGGCUGAGCAGCAGCUACAGAUGGUAGAGGAGCAGCGAAAGAUUGAUGAGGAGCGGCAGAAAAUCAAGAGGGAGCAGGAAAAGCGGACACGUGAGGAGCAAAAGAUCAUCCUUGGGAAGAACAAUGCGCGGCCCAAGAUCUCCUUCUCUAUCUAAAGCUAGAUACCCACAUGCAUGGGGUCUUUUAUGUUGUAGGUCCACACUCUUUCAUAUGAUUUCAAUUUGUUUUUCUAAUUUUUAAUUAUUUUUUUUUUUUGUCUUUUUCUUUUUUUCCUUAGUCAUUAUUACCAUCGUAUACUUUAUCUCUUUUUCGUUUUUUGUUUUUUACAGGAUAUGUUUCUGCUAUGCAUGAGUGUGAUUGACUUAACUGAUAAGGGUGUGGAGAGCCACACACUUUGUGAUUGCAUGAAACCUUGGUUUUAUUUACUGUUGGUGUUAUUAUAAUUGUUGUUAUUAUUAUUAUUAUUAUUAUUAUUAUUAUUAUUAUUAUUAUUAUCAUCAUCAUCAUCACUACCACCACCACUUACUAUCACUCUUACUGUUAUUAUUAUUAUGAAUAUUAUUACUGUUAUCAUUUUCAUUAUUGCUUAUUAUUUUUUCAUUGUUAUUAUUACUUUAGUAUUGAUUUAUUUGUGCUAUUUCAGUGAUGCUCAUCUCUUGUUUUUAGAAUAUGCAGUUGCACGAGUGUCUGGCUUUCCAUUAAACAUAGUAGAAAAUAAGCUAGUUAAGGGUCUUUCAGAACCUGGGUUCUCUUGAUGUCAAUGCCUACAAUGUGAGUGCUAAAUGUUACGACAAAAGUGGAAGUAGAAACUACUGCCCCAAACCCCUACUUCUUUUGCUUUGAGUGAUAGAAGGCAAAAACUAAGCUAUAAUCUGCGAUUGUGUCAUAAUCGUGACGGUGAAAGCUAACGGUGAAAGAAUAUAAUUCAGAGGGUAAUGAACACUACUAUAAGAAAACCCCCUGACAAUGGCUCAGGCCAGCACUCAGAGUAGCUAGGACUAAUGCUGCAUUAGGCAGUCUUGGUUCAUACUGAUGUAUUUCAGGCGCUUAUAGUAUAACUGUAUCCUAAUCAUCUGCAGAUCAUUUCAUAUGUCCUUCAUCCCAUGUUUGUAAAGUCAUGAUCUUUCACCCGAGUAAGUGUCUUGCCAUAGUGGCAGCAGACAUAAGAAAACAAUUGUAUAUAUAGCACAUGGAUCACAGAUCAUGUACAAAGUUGUACUUCUUUGGUUGGAGUAGAACUUCAGCUACUUUUCACCUGCACUGGUGAAGACUUCCUCAUCAGUCUUUAGAGAAUGGAAAUAAAUACCAUUUGUAUUGGA
This is a long non-coding RNA of Penaeus indicus, 1534 nucleotides long. RefSeq lists it as uncharacterized. NCBI's taxonomy places the organism in Eukaryota, Metazoa, Arthropoda, Malacostraca, Decapoda, Penaeidae. The transcript has 2 exons. The record is from RefSeq and is a predicted model, not a curated record.